RNAcentral lists this ribosomal RNA (337 nucleotides) under uncultured Streptococcus sp. Its description in RNAcentral is "bacterial SSU rRNA". It matches the Rfam family "Bacterial small subunit ribosomal RNA", at positions 1042 to 1382 of the family's 1533-position model. The record is from RNAcentral. Lineage: Bacteria; Bacillati; Bacillota; Bacilli; Lactobacillales; Streptococcaceae.
GGCAUGGUUGUCGUCAGCUCGUGUCGUGAGAUGUUGGUUAGUCCCGCAACGAGCGCAACCCCUAUUGUUAGUUGCCAUCAUUCAGUUGGGCACUCUAGCGAGACUGCCGGUAAUAAACCGGAGGAAGGUGGGGAUGACGUCAAAUCAUCAUGCCCCUUAUGACCUGGGCUACACACGUGCUACAAUGGUUGGUACAACGAGUUGCGAGUCGGUGACGGCGAGCUAAUCUCUUAAAGCCAAUCUCAGUUCGGAUUGUAGGCUGCAACUCGCCUACAUGAAGUCGGAAUCGCUAGUAAUCGCGGAUCAGCACGCCGCGGUGAAUACGUUCCCGGGCCUU